This is an RNA transcript of Hevea brasiliensis (rubber tree), 1262 nucleotides long. RefSeq lists it as uncharacterized. NCBI's taxonomy places the organism in Eukaryota, Viridiplantae, Streptophyta, Magnoliopsida, Malpighiales, Euphorbiaceae. The record is from RefSeq and is a predicted model, not a curated record. The transcript has 5 exons.
ACAUAAUUCCUUGUUUGGUAUUUGUAUGAGAGCUCUCUUGUUGUGCUUUUCGUUGCUUAAAAAUUAUAUGAGUGGUAGUGAUUAGGUGCUUAAGAAUUGUUAACAAUUAUAGGUAACAGAGAGCAAUUUGAAACCUUUAUGAUAGUAAUUGUGCGUUAUGAAUCGAUCCUAAAUGUGGGUUUUUGAGCAAUUUUGCUAUAAUUCUGUAUAAACCUUAUUUAAGUUGUGCAUUUUGCAUGGGACUAAAGUAGUUGCUGGCAAGCAUUCUGGUGCCCCUUCUUCUGUAGAAUGUCCCUUGUGCAAGGUUUGCUUUAUUCCACUUAUGUUUUACUUUAGCUUCACAUGACAAUUCAGGCCAUUUGUUUUGCCAUAUUGCUUACAGGAAUGAUGUCUCUGUAAAAUUUGUUAUUAAUGGCGGUAUUUUUUGAUUGUUCUGCUGACAGAAAAUGUUUCAAUAAUUUAUAGAUAUGAUGGAAGUUUAUUCCAAAGGCAGUAUUUAAACGAAAAUUUUGAUCUUAGUUCUUUCUUUGCAAAAGCUCACAAGUAUAGAUUAAAUUGCUAUUGUACUGAAUCAGUCAGGUAUCUUGAGCAAUAUAGUUAAUGCAUUGCAAUAUUGGAAGUCCCGCAAGUAUCUUCAACCAAAUCGGUGGCUGCAAAGUUGGUGGAGAAGAGAAAUUCAGGCUCUUUGGCAGGUCUUUUGGCACACAUGGAGGAAAUUAUGAAUUCCAGAAUCCCCAGCAACAACCACUCGAGGUUCAACCUCUCAACACUGUGCCUUACAUCAGUUCACCUGCACAAGUUGGUGAUUAUGACUCAUUGCGAACUGAAAGUGUCAAAGUGAUGCCCACCCUGCUGAAAAGGUUGGCCCAUGUAUGGUCUUUCUCCCAUCUAACACAACUAAAAAGGAAUGGGAUAACAUAGUGGUCUCUGCAAAAAGUGCAGUUGUGCUGACUGGGACUACAGCUAUGGGACUGGUGGGACCAAUUGUGGGAUUAAUGGACAUUGGGGAAUGUGAUGACGCCUACUUGUUUCGUGUCUCCCUACCUGGGUUAGCAAAAGAUGAAAAGGAAUUUAGUUGUGACAUGGAACCUGAUGGAACAAUAAUGAUAAGGGCGCGACAGCCACUGGUGAAAAAAUAGUGUGCAAGAACUCCCAAAUCUUUAGGAUGCAAACACAAAAUCUGCCCCAACCAGGGCAUUUCUCCAUUAAAUUUCAGCUACCUGGUCCAGUUGAUGACCAGCAGUUUUCAGGUCGUUUUGGGA